UACGUAGGGGGCAAGCGUUGUCCGGAAUCAUUGGGCGUAAAGCGCACGUAGGCGGUCUGUUAUGUCGGAUGUGAAAGCCCUUGGCUCAACUGAGGAAGUGCAUCCGAAACUGGCAGGCUAGAGUACUAAAGAGGGUCGCGGAAUUCCCGGUGUAGAGGUGAAAUUCGUAGAUAUCGGGAGGAACACCGGUGGCGAAGGCGGCGACCUGGGUAGAUACUGACGCUGAGGUGCGAAAGCGUGGGGAGCAAACAGG
RNAcentral lists this ribosomal RNA (253 nucleotides) under uncultured bacterium. RNAcentral describes it as "partial 16S ribosomal RNA". It matches the Rfam family "Bacterial small subunit ribosomal RNA", at positions 524 to 776 of the family's 1533-position model. The record is from RNAcentral.